Molecule: ribosomal RNA, 253 nt
Filed under: uncultured bacterium
Lineage: Bacteria
Description: partial 16S ribosomal RNA
Rfam family: Bacterial small subunit ribosomal RNA
Source: RNAcentral
UACGAAGGGGGCUAGCGUUGCUCGGAAUUACUGGGCGUAAAGGGCUCGUAGGCGGCCAACUAAGUCAGACGUGAAAUCCCUCAGCUUAACUGGGGAACUGCGUCUGAUACUGGAUGGCUUGGAUUCGGGAGAGGAAUGCGGAAUUCCAGGUGUAGCGGUGAAAUGCGUAGAUAUCUGGAGGAACACCGGUGGCGAAGGCGGCAUUCUGGACCGAUAUUGACGCUGAGGAGCGAAAGCCAGGGGAGCAAACGGG